RNAcentral lists this ribosomal RNA (253 nucleotides) under uncultured bacterium. RNAcentral describes it as "partial 16S ribosomal RNA". It matches the Rfam family "Bacterial small subunit ribosomal RNA", at positions 524 to 776 of the family's 1533-position model. The record is from RNAcentral.
UACGAGAGGCCCAAGCGUUAUUCGGAAUUACUGGGCUUAAAGAGUUCGUAGGCGGCAUUGCAAGUAGGGUGUGAAAGCCCUCGGCUCAACCGAGGAAUUGCGCUCUAAACUGCAGUGCUUGAGGAACCUAGAGGUGAGCAGAACAGAUGGUGGAGCGGUGAAAUGCGUUGAUAUCAUCUGGAAUACCGGAGGCGAAGGCGGCUCACUGGGAGUUUUCUGACGCUGAGGAACGAAAGCCAGGGUAGCGAACGGG